RNAcentral lists this ribosomal RNA (491 nucleotides) under uncultured bacterium. Its description in RNAcentral is "partial 16S ribosomal RNA". It matches the Rfam family "Bacterial small subunit ribosomal RNA", at positions 29 to 506 of the family's 1533-position model. The record is from RNAcentral.
AGUGAACGCUGGCGGUAGGCCUAACACAUGCAAGUCGAACGGCAGCACAGUACCCGCUUGCUCUUACGGGUGGCGAGUGGCGGACGGGUGAGGAAUACAUCGGAAUCUACUUUUUCGUGGGGGAUAACGUAGGGAAACUUACGCUAAUACCGCAUACGACCUACGGGUGAAAGCAGGGGAUCUUCGGACCUUGCGCGAUUGAAUGAGCCGAUGUCGGAUUAGCUAGUUGGCGGGGUAAAGGCCCACCAAGGCGACGAUCCGUAGCUGGUCUGAGAAGAUGAUCAGCCACACUGGAACUGAGACACGGUCCAGACUCCUACGGGAGGCAGCAGUGGGGAAUAUUGGACAAUGGGCGCAAGCCUGAUCCAGCCAUACCGCGUGGGUGAAGAAGGCCUUCGGGUUGUAAAGCCCUUUUGUUGGGAAAGAAAAGCAGCAGGUUAAUACCCCGCUGUUCUGACGGUACCCAAAGAAUAAGCACCGGCUAACUUCGU